RNAcentral lists this ribosomal RNA (100 nucleotides) under Helianthus annuus (common sunflower). Lineage: Eukaryota; Viridiplantae; Streptophyta; Magnoliopsida; Asterales; Asteraceae. The record is from RNAcentral.
GUUGGCGGUGAAGCAUAUGAAAACUCCAUAGUUAAGCAUGUUUAGGUGGGAGAAGUACUAGAAUGGGUGACCUCUUAGGAAGUCUUCACCGGGGCAAACA